AUGCUUGGUGUUGAACGACUUGACAUGAUCAAAGGAAUUCCACAAAAGAUUUUGGCCUUUGAAAAGUUUCUUGAGGAAAACCCUGAAUGGAUUGAUAAAGUGGUUCUACUUCAAAUUGGUGUGCCAACUAGAACUGAUGUCGGAGCGGAUCAGAAGCUUACAAGCCAAGUGCACGAAAUCGUUGGGUGCAUAAAUAGACGAUUUGGAACAUUGUUCGUUGUUCCUAUUCAUCAUUUUGAUCGAUCUCUUGAUUUCCAUGCCUUAUGCGCUCUUUAUCCAGUCACUAAUGUGGCUCUUGUAACAUCACUGAGGGAUGGCAUGAAUCUUGUAAGCUAUGAAUAUGUUGCAUGCUAGGGAUCAAAAAAAGGAGUUUUGAUAUUUGAGUGA
Molecule: ribosomal RNA, 387 nt
Filed under: Triticum aestivum (bread wheat)
Lineage: Eukaryota; Viridiplantae; Streptophyta; Magnoliopsida; Poales; Poaceae
Description: partial small subunit ribosomal RNA
Source: RNAcentral